Molecule: ribosomal RNA, 1496 nt
Filed under: uncultured organism
Description: SSU rRNA
Rfam family: Bacterial small subunit ribosomal RNA
Source: RNAcentral
AGGAUGAACGCUGGCGGCGUGCCUAAUACAUGCAAGUCGAGCGAGUUCUGAUUAUUGAAAGGUGCUUGCAUCUUGAUUUAAUUUUGAACGAGUGGCGGACGGGUGAGUAACACGUGGGUAACCUGCCCUUAAGUGGGGGAUAACAUUUGGAAACAGAUGCUAAUACCGCAUAAAUCCAAGAACCGCAUGGUUCUUGGCUGAAAGAUGGCGUAAGCUAUCGCUUUUGGAUGGACCCGCGGCGUAUUAGCUAGUUGGUGAGGUAACGGCUCACCAAGGCAAUGAUACGUAGCCGAACUGAGAGGUUGAUCGGCCACAUUGGGACUGAGACACGGCCCAAACUCCUACGGGAGGCAGCAGUAGGGAAUCUUCCACAAUGGACGCAAGUCUGAUGGAGCAACGCCGCGUGAGUGAAGAAGGCUUUCGGGUCGUAAAACUCUGUUGUUGGAGAAGAAUGGUCGGCAGAGUAACUGUUGUCGGCGUGACGGUAUCCAACCAGAAAGCCACGGCUAACUACGUGCCAGCAGCCGCGGUAAUACGUAGGUGGCAAGCGUUAUCCGGAUUUAUUGGGCGUAAAGCGAGCGCAGGCGGUUUUUUAAGUCUGAUGUGAAAGCCCUCGGCUUAACCGAGGAAGUGCAUCGGAAACUGGGAAACUUGAGUGCAGAAGAGGACAGUGGAACUCCAUGUGUAGCGGUGAAAUGCGUAGAUAUAUGGAAGAACACCAGUGGCGAAGGCGGCUGUCUGGUCUGUAACUGACGCUGAGGCUCGAAAGCAUGGGUAGCGAACAGGAUUAGAUACCCUGGUAGUCCAUGCCGUAAACGAUGAAUGCUAGGUGUUGGAGGGUUUCCGCCCUUCAGUGCCGCAGCUAACGCAUUAAGCAUUCCGCCUGGGGAGUACGACCGCAAGGUUGAAACUCAAAGGAAUUGACGGGGGCCCGCACAAGCGGUGGAGCAUGUGGUUUAAUUCGAAGCAACGCGAAGAACCUUACCAGGUCUUGACAUCUUUUGAUCACCUGAGAGAUCAGGUUUCCCCUUCGGGGGCAAAAUGACAGGUGGUGCAUGGUUGUCGUCAGCUCGUGUCGUGAGAUGUUGGGUUAAGUCCCGCAACGAGCGCAACCCUUAUGACUAGUUGCCAGCAUUUAGUUGGGCACUCUAGUAAGACUGCCGGUGACAAACCGGAGGAAGGUGGGGAUGACGUCAAAUCAUCAUGCCCCUUAUGACCUGGGCUACACACGUGCUACAAUGGAUGGUACAACGAGUUGCGAGACCGCGAGGUCAAGCUAAUCUCUUAAAGCCAUUCUCAGUUCGGACUGUAGGCUGCAACUCGCCUACACGAAGUCGGAAUCGCUAGUAAUCGCGGAUCAGCACGCCGCGGUGAAUACGUUCCCGGGCCUUGUACACACCGCCCGUCACACCAUGAGAGUUUGUAACACCCGAAGCCGGUGGCGUAACCCUUUUAGGGAGCGAGCCGUCUAAGGUGGGACAAAUGAUUAGGGUGAA